This 75-nucleotide transfer RNA is filed under the name Collinsella aerofaciens. RNAcentral's name for it is "tRNA-Ala(ggc)". It matches the Rfam family "tRNA". Rfam says of the family: Transfer RNA (tRNA) molecules are approximately 80 nucleotides in length. Lineage: Bacteria; Bacillati; Actinomycetota; Coriobacteriia; Coriobacteriales; Coriobacteriaceae. The record is from RNAcentral.
GGGGGCGUAGCUCAGCUGGGAGAGCGCUUGACUGGCAGUCAAGAGGUCAGGGGUUCGAUUCCCCUCGUCUCCACC